This 253-nucleotide ribosomal RNA is filed under the name uncultured bacterium. RNAcentral describes it as "partial 16S ribosomal RNA". It matches the Rfam family "Bacterial small subunit ribosomal RNA", at positions 524 to 776 of the family's 1533-position model. The record is from RNAcentral.
UACGUAGGGUGCGAGCGUUGUCCGGAAUUACUGGGCGUAAAGAGCUUGUAGGCGGUUCGUCGCGUCGAUCGUGAAAACCUACCGCUCAACGGUGGGCUUGCGGUCGAUACGGGCGGACUAGAGUACUUCAGGGGAGACUGGAAUUCCUGGUGUAGCGGUGAAAUGCGCAGAUAUCAGGAGGAACACCGGUGGCGAAGGCGGAUCUCUGGGCCGAUACUGACGCUGAGGAGCGAAAGCGUGGGGAGCGAACAGG